GCCGGGAUAGCUCAGCUGGGAGAGCAACAGACUGAAGCCUGUGAGGCGGUGAGAGCCGAUUUGUGGCGUAUUCUGGAGGUCGCGUGUUCAAUCCACGCUCCUGGCA
Molecule: non-coding RNA, 106 nt
Organism: Trametes coccinea BRFM310
Lineage: Eukaryota; Fungi; Basidiomycota; Agaricomycetes; Polyporales; Polyporaceae
Source: the annotation of a GenBank genome assembly